UGAGGAUGUACCUCAGUGGUCAAAUACUUGCCUGGCAAGUAUGAGACCCUGGGUUCAAUCCCCAGCACUGAA
RNAcentral lists this transfer RNA (72 nucleotides) under Marmota monax (woodchuck). RNAcentral describes it as "tRNA.Ala". The record is from RNAcentral. Lineage: Eukaryota; Metazoa; Chordata; Mammalia; Rodentia; Sciuridae.